UUUGGGCAGUUAUUUUUGGGCGCGGCUGUGCCCGCGGCCUUUUUUUGGCACACGGAGGUGCCUCGCAAAGUUUCGCGCCAUUCCGAGUCCGGCGGACGAAGUCGGCCAGCCCCACCCCCCAAGGCUAUAGGCCAACCGUUUUUGUGGGCUUUUUCCGCUGGACGAUCAUGGCGGCCCAGCCUUUGGGCGGUUAAAUUUUGGCGCGGCUGUGCCCGCGGCCUAUUUUUGGCACACGGAGGUGCCUCGCAAAGUCUCGCGCCAUUCCGAGUCCUGCGGACGAAGCUGGCCAGCCCCACCCCCCAAGGCUAUAGUCCACCCGUUUUUGUGGGCUUUUUCCGCUGGACGAACAUGGCGCCCCGGCCUUCGGGCGGUUAUAUUUGGGCGUGGCUGUGCCCGUGGCCUAUUAUUCGCACACGGAGGCGCCUCGCAAAGUCUCGCGCCAUUCCGAGUCCGGCGGACGAAGCUGGCCAGCCCCACCCCCCAAGGCUAUAGCCCACCCGUUUUUGUAGCCUUUUUCAGCUGGACGAACUUGGCGCCCCGGCCUUCGGGCGGUUAUUUUUGGGCGUGGCUUUGUCCGCUGCCGAUUUUUUGCACACGGAGGCCCCUCGCAAAGUCUCGCGGCAUUCCGAGUCCGGCGGACGAAGUUGGCCAGCCCCACCCCCCAAGGCUAUAGCCCACCCGUUUUUGUAGACUUUUUCCGCUGGACGAACUUGGCGCCCCGGCCUUCGGGCGGUUAUUUUUGGGCGCAGCUUUGCCCGCGGCCUAUUUUUGGCACACGGAGACCCCGCAUAAAGUCUCGCGCCAUUCCGAGUCCGGCGGAAGAAGUGGGCCCGCCCCACCCCCCAAAGCUAUAGCCCACCCGUUUUUGUGGGCUUUUUCCGCUGGACGAACUUGGCGCCCCGGCCUUCGGGCGGUUAUUUUUAGGCGCGGCUGUGCCCGCGGCCUAUUUUUGGCACAUGAAGGCGCCUCGCAAAGUCUCGCGCCAUUCUGAGUCCGGCGGACGAAGUCGGCCAGCCCCACCCCCCAAGGCUAUAGCCCACCCGUUUUUGUGGGCUUUUUCCGCUGGACUAACUUGGCGCCCCGGCCUUCGGGCGGUUAUUUUUAGGCGCGGCUGUGCCCGCGGCCUAUUUUUUGCACACGAAGGGGCCUCGCAAAGUCUCGCGCCAUUCCGAGUCCGGCGGACGAAGUUGGCCAGCACCACCCCCCAAGGCUAUAGCCCACCCGUUUUUGUAGGCUUUUUCCGCUGGACGAACUUGGCGCCCUGGCCUUCGGGCAGUUAUUUUUGGGCGCGGCUGUGCCCGUGGCCUAUUUUUGGCACACGGAGGUGCCUCGCAAAGUCUCGCGCCAUUCCGAGUCCGGCGGACGAAGUCGGCCAGCCCCACCCCCCAAGGCUAUAGCCCACCCGUUUUUAUUGGCUUUUUCCGCUGGACGAACUUGGCGCCCCGGCCUUCGGGCGGUUAUUUUAGGGCGCGGCUUUGUCCGCGGCCUAUAUUUGGCACACGGAGGCCCCUCGCAAAGUCUCGCGGCAUUCCGAGUACGGCGGACGAAGUUGGCCAGCCCCACCCCCCAAGGCUGUAGCCCACCCGUUUUUGUGGCCUUUUUUCCCUGGACGAACUUGGCGCCCCGGCCUUCGGGCGGUUAUUUUUGGGCGCAGCUUUGCCCGCGGCCUAUUUUUGGCACACG
Molecule: long non-coding RNA, 1683 nt
Filed under: Citrus x clementina
Lineage: Eukaryota; Viridiplantae; Streptophyta; Magnoliopsida; Sapindales; Rutaceae
Description: Citrus clementina (C. clementina) long non-coding RNA (CCLE_LNC005996)
Source: RNAcentral